CUGGCCAAACUCUCCAUUGUCCCAGUGCGCAGAGGCUACUGGGGGAACAAGACUGGCAAGCCCCACACCGUCCCUUGCAAGGUGACAGGCCGCUGCGGCUCUGUGCUGGUGCGCCUCAUGCCUGCACCCAGGGGCACUGGCAUGGUCUCAGCGCCUGUGCCCAAGAAGCUGCUCAUGAUGGCUGGUAUUGAUGACUGCUACACCGCAGCCCGGGGCUGCACUGCCACCCUGGGCAACUUCGCCAAGGCCACCUUUGAUGCCAUCUCUAAGACCUACAGCUACCUGACGCCUGACCUCUGGAAGGAGACUGUGUUUACCAAGUCUCCCUAUCAGAAAUUCACUGACCACCUUGUCAAGACCCGCACCAGAGUCUCCGUGCAGCGGGCCCAGGCUCCAGCUGUGGCUACAACACAGGGUUUUUAUACAAGAAAAAUAAAGUGAAUUAAGCCUGUUAAAAAAA
Molecule: RNA transcript, 460 nt
Organism: Mandrillus leucophaeus (drill)
Lineage: Eukaryota; Metazoa; Chordata; Mammalia; Primates; Cercopithecidae
Gene name: 40S ribosomal protein S2 pseudogene
Exons: 1
Source: RefSeq, a predicted model, not a curated record